UACGUAGGUGGCGAGCGUUGUCCGGAUUUACUGGGCGUAAAGGGAGCGUAGGCGGACUUUUAAGUGAGAUGUGAAAUACCCGGGCUCAACUUGGGUGCUGCAUUUCAAACUGGAAGUCUAGAGUGCAGGAGAGGAGAAUGGAAUUCCUAGUGUAGCGGUGAAAUGCGUAGAGAUUAGGAAGAACAUCAGUGGCGAAGGCGAUUCUCUGGACUGUAACUGACGCUGAGGCUCGAAAGCAUGGGUAGCAAACAGGAUUAGA
This 259-nucleotide ribosomal RNA is filed under the name uncultured prokaryote. Its description in RNAcentral is "partial 16S ribosomal RNA". It matches the Rfam family "Bacterial small subunit ribosomal RNA", at positions 524 to 782 of the family's 1533-position model. The record is from RNAcentral.